RNAcentral lists this ribosomal RNA (444 nucleotides) under uncultured bacterium. Its description in RNAcentral is "bacterial SSU rRNA". It matches the Rfam family "Bacterial small subunit ribosomal RNA", at positions 1027 to 1479 of the family's 1533-position model. The record is from RNAcentral.
CAAAUUGCAAGGUGCUGCAUGGUUGUCGUCAGCUCGUGCCGUGAGGUGUCAGGUUAAGUCCUAUAACGAGCGCAACCCCUUUGGUUAGUUACCAGCAUGUAAUGAUGGGGACUCUAGCCAUACUGCCAGUGUAAACUGUGAGGAAGGUGGGGAUGACGUCAAAUCAUCACGGCCCUUACGUCCUGGGCUACACACGUGCUACAAUGGUAGGGACAGAGAGCAGCCACUGGGUGACCAGGAGCGAAUCUACAAACCCUAUCACAGUUCGGAUCGCAGUCUGCAACUCGACUGCGUGAAGCUGGAAUCGCUAGUAAUCGCAUAUCAGCCAUGAUGCGGUGAAUACGUUCCCGGGCCUUGUACACACCGCCCGUCAAGCCAUGGAAGCUGGGGGUACCUGAAGUCGGUCGCCGCGAGGAGCCGCCUAGGGUAAAACUAGUAACUGGG